AUGAAGAAGUCGUUCUGCUUCCGCGGCUCCGCUGCGAAGAGGGCAGGACGGACGCCGAUGGCGGACUGGUGCGUCUUCUGCGACAUCGCCCGCCGCGCCCCCGCUUCCACCGCCGCUCUCCUCUACUCCGAUGACAAGGUCGUCGCGUUCCAGGACAUCAAUCCGUCCGCGUUCAGGCACUAUCUUGUCAUACCCAUCGAGCAUAUACCAACUGUAAAAAAUCUCCAAAGAACCAACGAAGAUCACCAGUUAGUUAGUCACAUGGUGAAGGUGGGAAAAGAUUUACUCAGUCGAGAUGCUCCCAAAUCUGAGGAACAUAGAUUUGGUUUUCAUCAGCCACCAUUUAAUAGUAUUGAUCACCUCCAUCUUCACUGCCUGGCACUGCCAUUUAUACCCAGUUGGAGGCAAGUAAAAUAUACACCAUUGGGUCCCUUAGGGGGCUUUAUUGAUGCUGAGAAGGUAUUGGAAAAAAUAAAACCAGAAACAGAAGUGUACAGUUAA
Molecule: ribosomal RNA, 501 nt
Filed under: Triticum aestivum (bread wheat)
Lineage: Eukaryota; Viridiplantae; Streptophyta; Magnoliopsida; Poales; Poaceae
Description: partial small subunit ribosomal RNA
Source: RNAcentral